UUAUAGAUAUAAAUAGAAAGAAAGAAAGAAAGAAAGAAAGAAAGAAAGAAAGAAAGAAAGAAAGAAAGAAAGAAAGAAAGAAAGAAAGAAAGAAAGAAAGAAAGAAAGAAAGAAAGAAAGAAAGAAAGAAAGAAAGAAAGAAAAAGAAAGAAAGAAAGAAAGAAAGAAAGAAAGAAAGAAAGAAAGAAAGAAAGAAAGAAAGAAAGAAAGAAAGAAAGAAAGAAAGAAAGAAAGAAAGAAAGAAAGAAAGAAAGAAAGAAAGAAAGAAAGAAACUGAUGUG
RNAcentral lists this long non-coding RNA (281 nucleotides) under Monodelphis domestica (gray short-tailed opossum). RNAcentral's name for it is "lncRNA (ENSMODG00000028588.2)". Lineage: Eukaryota; Metazoa; Chordata; Mammalia; Didelphimorphia; Didelphidae. The record is from RNAcentral.